AACCUGCUACAUGAACCACGGACCCAACAGCACAGCUAUUCCCCCGGUGUCCCUUGAUCGAUUCGCUUGCGUCGCUCUUCCUUUCCCUUGUUGCUCUGUCCCGGUAACGCGUCGCACUGCUUCUUGGCAUUCUUCUCAUCGGGUUUCAGUCUCUCCCCCACUCCUCCCCAUAUUCCUCAGCCGCUUUCGGCCCACGUUUCCUGCUGUUUCUCUUUACACGAAACGAUAUAUAUAAAAUCAUCGGCAAGCCAGAAGCAGUGGCCCCACUCGUGCACGUACGGCGUGUCUCGCUGGUUUCAAGCGGCCAAGAGCAAAGCAAUAUAAUAUUGUUUGGUGGGCUGUUUAGUAACCUCACGUGCCUGUCCUUCUCGUCAUACUAGACACUGUCACCACCGCCACCCGUCCCGUGCCUCCUCUUCCUUCCUCCGCCUAACCACCAGCUUCCACGCAAGCAACUGCGCUCUGUGCAUAUGUCUGAGCUCGUAAAGCUUGAAGUGGGCCAUCAGGACUAUGCCUGGGGCAAGGAUGCCGCGUCCAGCUUCGUGGCAAAGAUGAAGGGCUUGACGAACGACAAGUCCGGCAAGAUGUUUGCGGAGUUGUGGGUAGGCACGCACCCCAACUGCCCGUCCAGGAUCGCCGACGGCGACGCGCAGCUGCUCGAGGAGUUCCUGAAGCAGCCAGAGAAUAAAAAGAAGUACUUUUCAGAAGCUCACCAGGCCACGACCUUCCGUGACACAGUGCCCUACCUGCUGAAGAUUCUGUCGAUUCGCACGGCGCUGUCCAUCCAGGCGCACCCGUGCAAGAAGCUUGCCGAGAAGCUGCACGCAGCGAGGCCGGAUAAGUACAAGGACCCGAACCACAAGCCAGAGCUCAUUUGCGCCUUGACCCCCUUUGAGGCACUCUGCUGCUUCCGACCGCUCGGCGCCAUCAUCGCGUAUCUGAAGCGCAUCCCGGAGCUGGCGGAGCUUGUGGGCGCCGACGCGGUGCUGGGUCAGUACAUGAUGGCGCCGGAGAGCGCGCUGCCUGCAACGGACAGCGACGAAGAGAAGCAGUCGCUGAAAGCGAUGAUAACGAACGUGUACGCUGCUUCGGACGACAUCGUCACGAAGGCGCUGCGCCUGCACCUCCAGCGCAUCGAGGAGACGGGCGCGCAGUGUGCCGAGGACGAGCUCUUUGUUCGCAUUUACAGGCAGUACCCGGAUGAUGUCGGCUGCUGGAUGGUUUACUUCCUCAAUUACGUACAGAUGGUGCCCGGGGAGGCUCUCUUCUUAUCGGACAGCGAGCCGCACGCGUAUAUCAGCGGCGACGGUGUCGAGAUCAUGGCAUGCAGCGACAACGUCGUGCGUGCUGGACUCACGCCGAAGUGGAAGGAUGUGCCGACGCUCAUAAGCAUGCUGAAGUACGACACGACCGGGCUUGCGUCUGCCCGCCACGAGAAGAAGAGCAGCGAGGACGCGGCGCAGUGGCAGGUGCAGUACUACCGGCCACCGGCACAGUUCCCGGACUUUUCGCUGUACCGCAUGCAGUACGAGCACGCUUCUGGCAAAGGGACGACCUCCGUGACCUUGCCGACGAUAGGCCUGGGCUUCUGCUUGGAGGGGUCUGCCAAGGUGAACGGGACGACGGUAAACGCCGGCGACUGCUUUGCGGUGCCGUACGGCAAGGUGACGUGCCAAGCUGAGGGAGCGAAGGCGCUUGUGUUCGUUGCGUCGACCAACGACUUGAGCGACAGAUAGCCGAGCUCCCUUUAGCAUUGACGCUGGGUGGUGCGUGCUGAGCGACCUCCGUGACAAGUAAAUGAAAGACGUCCGUCGCUGUCUUGCGCCAGGGUUCAAGAGGUAGAACACGGUGAUUCAAGUACUGUCCCCACCUUGUGUUUUUCUUUUUUUUUUCCACCUCGUAGUCCACCGUGUUGUACGCGCUUGCGGAUGCGUGUCUGUGUGGACACGAGAGCGCAUGCCUCCUUGGCGUUCUAUUUGACAGACAACGUGUCACCUCCCACACGUGCACAGAGGCUCACGGCAGCUGAUAGGCUCGCUCGUGAUGAGAGCACGCACACAUUCUCGGCGCACACCUCUCUCUUCCCCUCGCACACCCCAAGCCUUACCUAAGCUCUACACACACGAAAAAAAAAGUUUCUCACGAUUCUCUUGCUUUCUUUGGCGCGCCUUCUGUCUUCCUCUCAUGCUCUCUCUCUCUCUCUCGCUGGUUCUCUCACCCUUUUGUAGUCUUCUUGUCGGCUCCCUUUUGCUUUGCUGUUGUUGGCUGCUAGUGUUGUUGCCCAUCUCGCCUAGUGUGUGCUCGGGCGCUGGCAACGCGCGCAGUCUCCCGUCUCGUUCUGUUGUCCUGUUUUUUUUUUCUGCAGAUGCCUUCUCUUUCUUUUUGUACAGCGCGCCUGCGGGGUGUGAAACUCAUGAAGGUGUCGGGUCGAGGGCGGAUUUCAUUGUCGAUGUUUUUUUGUUUCGUUGGGCUUCUUAACGCGAAUAGUCCGCGUGAGGGAAGCGAAUCGGAGCAAGGCGGAAACCGAUGAGGGUGGAGGACGCGUCGCGGUUGGUGAGUGGGGACGCGUGUUGUCUGAGGACCACAUCUACUCGUCACUAUGAAAACGAGGAUGCGAGGGGCAUACGUAUGCAGCAGCGAGUGAUGCGCGGGUGCCCUUCCUUGUCGUUGCACUUGAAACGUGAUUCUUGCUCGGCCUCCGAUCUCCUUUGCUGAGCUGUGUUAUUAUUGUCUGCCCAUGUGUUUUCUCUGUUCUUCUCCCUUCCCUCUCUCAG
Molecule: unclassified non-coding RNA, 2774 nt
Filed under: Leishmania donovani
Lineage: Eukaryota; Euglenozoa; Kinetoplastea; Trypanosomatida; Trypanosomatidae
Description: gene:LdHU3.32.2110(CDS-product:phosphomannose_iso merase)
Source: RNAcentral